UGAGGAAUAUUGCGCAAUGAGCGAAAGCUAGACGCAGCAACGCCGCGUGGACGAUGAAGGCCUUCGGGUCGUAAAGUCCUUUUCAGGGGGACGAGUGAGGACGGUACCCCUGGAAUAAGUCACGGCUAACUACGUGCCAGCAGCCGCGGUAAAACGUAGGUGGCGAGCGUUAUCCGGAUUCACUGGGCGUAAAGCGCCUGCAGGCGGUCUUGUAAGUGGGAUGUGAAAUCUCCCGGCUUAACUGGGAGGGGCCAUUCCAUACUGCGGGACUGGAGGGCAGAAGAGGGGAGUGGAAUUCCCGGUGUAGUGGUGAAAUGCGUAGAUAUCGGGAGGAACACCAGUGGCGAAGGCGACUCCCUGGUCUGCUCCUGACGCUAAGAGGCGAAAGCUAGGGGAGCGAACGGGAUUAGAAACCCCGGUAGUCCUAGCCAUAAACGAUGGAUACUAGGUGUUGGUGGUCCUAACCCCAUCAGUGCCGAAGCUAACGCGUUAAGUAUCCCGCCUGGGGGACUACGGCCGCAAGGUUA
RNAcentral lists this ribosomal RNA (527 nucleotides) under uncultured bacterium. RNAcentral describes it as "bacterial SSU rRNA". It matches the Rfam family "Bacterial small subunit ribosomal RNA", at positions 355 to 896 of the family's 1533-position model. The record is from RNAcentral.